RNAcentral lists this ribosomal RNA (425 nucleotides) under uncultured bacterium. RNAcentral describes it as "partial 16S ribosomal RNA". It matches the Rfam family "Bacterial small subunit ribosomal RNA", at positions 354 to 796 of the family's 1533-position model. The record is from RNAcentral.
GUGGGGAAUCUUGCGCAAUGGGCGAAAGCCUGACGCAGCCAUGCCGCGUGAAUGAUGAAGGUCUUAGGAUUGUAAAAUUCUUUCACCGGGGACGAUAAUGACGGUACCCGGAGAAGAAGCCCCGGCUAACUUCGUGCCAGCAGCCGCGGUAAUACGAAGGGGGCUAGCGUUGCUCGGAAUUACUGGGCGUAAAGGGCGCGUAGGCGGACAGUUUAGUCAGAGGUGAAAGCCCAGGGCUCAACCUUGGAAUUGCCUUUGUGACUGGCUGUAUUGAGUACGGGAGAGGUGAGAGGAACUCCGAGUGUAGAGGUGAAAUUCGUAGAUAUUCGGAAGAACACCAGUGGCGAAGGCGACUCACUGGCCCGUUACUGACGCUGAGGCGCGAAAGCGUGGGGAGCAAACAGGAUUAGAUACCCCUGUAGUCC